CCCGGCGCCCCUUCCCUCCCCUCAGGAGCAGCGGGGAGGACCCUGCGCCGCGGCCCCGGGGCACAGCCGAGGGGCGGGAAUGCAGCCGCCGGAGCCGCAGCCGAGCCCCCAGCGCAGCACGAAAAUGCCAGAAGCCUCAGAAGACCAUAAUCACUGGAAAGCCUGUUGACUUCCAUUCUUUGGUAAUCUGGAACAUCAUCCAUCUGGCAUGGCGCAGGGCAGUCAACAACUUGACGUGCAGGUACUCCAUGACCUCCGGCAGCGUUUCCCUGAGAUACCCGAAGGGGUGGUAUCUCAGUGCAUGCUUCAGAACAACAACAACCUCGAUGCCUGUUGUCGAGCCCUUGCACAGGAGAGCAACAAAUACCUGUACAUGGAGUACCACAGCCCUGAUGACACCAGAAUGAACAGAAAUAGCCUUUUGCACAUUAAUCUGGGUAUUCAUCCUCAUACCAGCUAUCACGCGGGGGAUGGAGCUCAACUUAAUGGUGGUCGUACACUGGUACACAGCUCAAGCGAUGGACACAUUGACCCUCAGCGCACAGCAGGUAAACAGCUCAUCUGCUUAGUUCAAGAACCACAUUCUGCUCCCGCUGUUGUGGCAGCUUCUCCUAGUUACAAUCCAUUUUUCAUGAAUGACCAGAAUAGAAAUGCAGCUACUCCUCCUCCACAGCCACCUCCACAGCCAUCUUCCAUACAACCAGGAAUGAACACGUCUGCUAUGCAAGGCCCUCCUCCCACGUAUAUGCACAUACCUCGGUACAGUACAAAUCCCAUUACUGUUACAGUAUCACAAAACCUCCCCUCUGGACAGAGCGUACCCAGAGCUCUACAAAUUCUUCCACAGAUUCCAAGCAAUCUUUAUGGGACUCCUGGCUCUAUUUAUAUAAGACAAACAUCUCAAAGUUCUUCAGGACGACAGACUCCUCAGAAUACACAGUGGCAUUCAUCGCCACAGGGCCCAGUUCCACAUUAUACUCCCCGUCCUCUACCUGUAUAUCCACAUCAACAGAACUACCAACCUUCUCAGUAUUCUCCGAAACAGCCCCAGAUCCCUCAGUCGGCUUUUCGAUCGCCACCGGCAUCCCAGUGUCCCUCUCCCUUUGGCUCUCCUCAGCACCAAGUUCAGCCUCCUCAGCUGAGUCAUCAGAGUUCACAUGUUUUCAUGCCUCCUAGCCCCUCAACUGUCCCACCCCAUCCAUAUCAGCAAGCAUCCCAGACUUUUCAGAAACAAGGCAGUCACUCUGUGUCGUACCUUCCUCCUUUUGCUGGACCUAGUUUAUCCAAAGGUUCCAUGAAUAAAAUAGAAAUUACAGUUGAGCCACCGCAAAGACCUGGGACUGCAAUGAACAGAAGCCCUUCACCAAUAAGUAAUCAACCAUCUCAACGAAACCAGCACCCACUGUAUGCACCCACUACUCCUCCUUCAAGCUCUCCGUCAAGAGGUAUGUCGGGGCAACCCAAACCUCCAUUUAGUGUUAAUCCAGUAUAUAUUACCUACACUCAACCAACUGGACCUGCAGGUGCCCCAACACAGUCUCCUCGGGUAAUGGUAUCUCAGCCAAACCCAACCAUUUUUAAAAUCACAGUAGGUCGAGCACCGACUGAGAAUCUUUUAAAUUUAGUGGACCAAGAAGAGCGUUCUGCAGCACCAGAACCUAUUCAGCCUAUUUCUGUAAUCCCAGGAUCUGGAGGAGAAAAAGGAAGCCAUAAAUAUCAGAGAAGUUCUAGUUCUGGAUCGGAUGACUAUGCUUACACUCAAGCCUUGCUGUUACAUCAACGAGCAAGGAUGGAGAGAUUAGCAAAGGAGCUGAAGAUGGAGAAAGAAGAGCUCGAACGCCUGAAAACCGAAGUCAAUGGUAUGGAGCAUGAUCUAAUGCAGAGGCGGCUUCGAAGAGUGAGCUGUACAACUGCAAUUCCAACAGUAAGCAAUUUCCUGAGGAAAUGACCAGAUUGAGAAGCCUCAACAGACAACUCCAAAUAAAUGUUGACUGUACACUGAAAGAAGUUGAUCUCCUUCAGUCUAGAGGAAACUUUGAUCCGAAAGCUACGUGUAACUUCUAUGAUAACAUAGAGCCUGGUCCCGUUGUGCCACCAAAGCCAUAUAAAAAGGAGCAUCAAAAUAGCUCCAAACAGACUCCACGGACUCAGCCAAGAGAUGAAGACUUUGAAGGGGCUCCAUGGAAUUGUGGUAGCUGCACCUUUCUAAAUCACCCAGCACUGAAUCGCUGUGAACAGUGUGAGAUGCCACGAUACACCUGAAAUUCAGGAAGGGGCUGCAUUGGGUUGAAAACAGGCUCUCAAGCCGACAGCUGUAGGAGAAGGAAACAUGGGGAACCUUUCAGUCCAUCUGCCCGGCCUUUGCCAGUCAACAAUCUUUAUAUUGCAAGGGGUGGGAGUAAUGUGUUAAGAUGUUUCUGCUUCUGCUACACUAAAAGAUAAAUAAAGGGUGAAAUUCUUUCCCAUUGCAGUGAGCGGAGCAGAAAAUGAAACCUGAAAAUGUACAAGGAUUAAUUUUGAGAAGAAUGUAUGCAGGAAAGCAAAUAACUACUGGUUUUUAGUCCUGUGGUUAUAGUUACUGCUUAGUGGCUCUAAAAAAAAAAACAACCCAAAACUACUGUUUUUUUAAAAAAAAUUAUAGGACUCUUAGUAAUGGUGUGAAGUGUUACACUUAACCAGAAAAACUGAAGAGCCAGAGCUGACUUAUCCUGGCCCCAGCUAGCUGGAAAACAAAGGCUCCCUGUGCUUCUAGAUUGUAAGCUACUGAAAAAGAAGACAGGUAAAUGCAACGAUAAAAUUUGCAAUGUUUAAACAAACAAACAAAAAAAAAACAAGGAGAAGGGUAUUUGUAAUUGCUGCUUUUUUUCAGGGUAACUUAUGUCUACAAAAAAUUGCUGUUUGAAAUAGUAACCUGAGGUGACUAAAUGAGAAACUGUAUGAGUGUUACAGAGAGUUUAAUCAGAGGUAAUUUUUUACAAUCCUGUUUGCUUGUACAGUGCUCACCUGGCUGUGUCAACACUGGUAAUAAACCAAGAAUGAAUUCUACCACAUUACAGAUGAAAAUACUGCUGCAUGCUUUCAUUGGGCCGUCGUGUUUCAAAGCUAAAAGUAUGCUUUUAUAUACAACAAUCUUCUAAGCCUGUGCUGUGUAACAGCACGGGGACAUAUGCCAAACACAUGCUACCCCAAAUUCUGUUUGCAAGACUUGAGCUCAGCCAUGGUUGUGUAUGAGAAGAGUUUGUACCUGAGAGUUCCUUAGGCCUUUUCAGCCUCCAAUUUGUGAAGAAUUCAUGAUGUUUACAGCACAGAAGGUACUUUGUGCCCCAGAUCAAAGUUAGCUGAAAAAUAAUUAAUCAGCUCUUCAGAAAAGAUUUAUUUGCACAUUGGUAAUAAACCAGCCUGUACAAAAUAGCAGAUGCCAGAUCCUGAAAAAUUACACACUGCAUUCUCUUUACUGUGGUCAGGAAAUACUUGUCGUAGGUUGAAGAACAUGAGACUUGCAACUGAAAAUCAUAUUGGUACUUUUCUGCAUAUGAUAUACUGUAUUAUAAAGGUGAUGUUCAAUCUGUUUGAAUGCUUCAGGUUGCUGUAAUAAAACACUCGAUACUUGUGAACUCGAACUUGGGUUUGGGCAGCUGAAUGACUGUGACACAACUGUGUGACUGAGUGGGAUGUUCCUGUGUACUGGUCAGAGACUGGUACAGUGCAUUUGAGUUUUUAUGGUGUAACUUCAUCACAAUUCAGACGUGACCAAGCACCUCAGCUGAGUUAUGGUAAUUGACUUUCUGACCGUAAGGCAAAGUUUGCCAGCUAAACCUUGCCAGGGCAGUUUUAAAUUACUACCUUUUAAGCUGUUCUUAGUUCAUGGCAGCCACAUCCAUAUGGUCAAUUACCACAGUUCACUUGAUGUGUGAUAACAUGUUAAGCUGUGGUAGAACAAUCAUGUGUCUGAAUCCUUAUUUAAAAUAAAGCAGUAUUUGCCAAGGGGUGGGUGGAGAAAAACUCAUCUUGACUGCAUUGCUCAAUCUGGUGUCUUCUCUCCCCACAGUCUAUAAAAACAACAAUAAGAACCAAACUAUUGAUCUUAGAAGAGGAACCAAUAUUUUAUCUGGCAUUUUUCAAUGUGUUCUUGCACUAAUUAAAUCUUCAGGAUAAUUUUAAAUAAGCUAAGAGAGAUCCAGCAAUCAGUGUGCACCACUGAUGAGCAAAACAAAGUCAAAGGCAUCAGAGAUAGCUUUCCUUCCUUCCUAAUGAUUUGUAAUUCUGUGAGGGGAGCUCAUCACAUGUAGAAAGCAGUAAAAAAAUUACUGUCAAAUGAAAUCAGAAGGCAGAUACCAAUUUUGUGCAUGUCAGUGGGCAGUCUGACAAAACUGAGAUAACUAGAAAACAGAUGAGCCAGAAGCAUUGCUAUUAUCAGCUGUAUAAUGAAUUACCCAAAACAAUACCAGUAACUUCAUGACUUUUCUAUUCUGAUGCCUUUGCCUUUGUAUUAUUUCAAUUUUAUGUUCAUUUGUACUUCUGUUGAAGUUCUAGAACCAUUUGUUUUUGCUGGAAUUACAAAAAGAUAGCAACUGAAGUGACAGUCAGCAAAUGAGAGUAGGUGCGUCAAGCAAAAAUAUAGUUGUGCCAUUUUCAGACAGAAUAGAUGCUACUUUUGAAGGGGGGGGGCUGUGAAAAUAUACCUCCAGUCCACUAAUUGCCUAAGCUGCAAUAACCAUAUGUGGAGACUUGCAAAUCUUAGUCCAGCUUCACCAGAGGAAGAGAAGGAAGGGCUGCCACAACAGCAAGAUAUUUUUUGGAAGAGUGACCAAGUACUGCGAAAUUGAAAAAGAAUUCCUUUGUACCAAUAAUUUUACCCCAGUUUUUCAAUUACUCUCAUUUGUUGCUUGUACAAAAAAAAGAAGAAAAAAACAACACCCACACCUCUCAGUUGUAUUCUUUUACUUGUAAAUGCCCAUGCUCAAACAUGAAUAGUAGACUUUACAUGGUGCUUCAAUAUUGCUGGUUUGUUAGAAUGUAAAUUGUAUUUUGAAUAUGGGAAGAUCCAUUUUCCUUCUGAAAGCAGGUGAUGCCAUUCACAUCCCAACUGAAUUGUAGAUUAUACCAAAAAGAUUGGUUUAUGUAAUAUUUAUUGAAUGCACAUAAAACCCUAGUGUCAGCUGGCAUACAAAAUGCACUGUAUUGUAUACAACCUGUGUGUGUGUGAGAAUGGUGGGAUGCUGAUGCUGUUGUGUUGAGUUAAUGCACUACUUGUGUUUUCUUUUUUCCUUAAUGACUGAGCUUUCCCUCAACCAUGCUACUAGAUUGGUAGAGUUUGUAACUGACUUGGACAUUCAGUUAUUCAAAAUGAUCUCACUGUUCAUUGAAAUUUUAUAAAGCUUAUUUUAUAUUUACUGUGCUAUUAAGAUGAAUUCCCUUUAAUUAUAGGAUACUACUGUAGUUCUUUAAAAGUUUAUUUAGAGUGGGGCUUGUGGAAAACUAUUCAGAACAUAGUAAACCAAAAGAAAUCCUGAACUUUGGAUCUGCUUUUCAUUUGAUGUAAUUAUUAGUCUUGUUUGGGUGAAGAGGAAAGGGGUGGGAAGUCAAGCAAAAGGAAGUACUUUGUAAAAUGUAGUCUUAGAUCAGAUUGAAUUGUGUAUCUGUGUGUCUGUGGUAUGUGUGUGUUUCCCUUGAAAAAUGGGAGGUGUGGUGAAAAGGUGUAAUAAUUCUUAAAAGAGCUGGUCUCAGUACUUUCUGAUUAUGAUAUGCUACUGAAUCACAUUUUUU
Molecule: RNA transcript, 5766 nt
Organism: Lepidothrix coronata (blue-crowned manakin)
Lineage: Eukaryota; Metazoa; Chordata; Aves; Passeriformes; Pipridae
Gene: TAB3
Gene name: TGF-beta activated kinase 1/MAP3K7 binding protein 3
Exons: 7
Source: RefSeq, a predicted model, not a curated record